UCAUGUUGUUUAAUUCGAUGAUACGCGAAGAACCUUACCAGGUCUUGACAUCCCUUGCAAAGCUAUGGAGACAUAGUGGAGGUUAUCAAGGAGACAGGUGGUGCAUGGUUGUCGUCAGCUCGUGUCGUGAGAUGUUGGGUUAAGUCCCGCAACGAGCGCAACCCUUAUUGCUAGUUACCAUCAUUAAGUUGGGGACUCUAGCGAGACUGCCAGUGAUAAACUGGAGGAAGGUGGGAUGACGUCAAAUCAUCAUGCCCCUUAUGACCUGGGCUACAAGCGUGAUACAAUGGCUGAAACAAAGGGCAGCGAAGCAGUGAUGUGGAGCGAAACCCAAAAAAGCAGUCUCAGUUCGGAUUGAAGUCUGCAACUCGACUUCAUGAAGUUGGAAUCGCUAGUAAUCGUAGAUCAGAACGCUACGGUGAAUACGUUCUCGGGGUUU
Molecule: ribosomal RNA, 439 nt
Filed under: uncultured Acholeplasma sp.
Lineage: Bacteria; Bacillati; Mycoplasmatota; Mollicutes; Acholeplasmatales; Acholeplasmataceae
Description: bacterial SSU rRNA
Rfam family: Bacterial small subunit ribosomal RNA
Source: RNAcentral